This 7912-nucleotide long non-coding RNA is filed under the name Lactuca sativa (garden lettuce). Its description in RNAcentral is "long non-coding RNA (LSAT_LNC004955)". Lineage: Eukaryota; Viridiplantae; Streptophyta; Magnoliopsida; Asterales; Asteraceae. The record is from RNAcentral.
GCAGCUACUUCGAGGUGAGUUACCUUCCAGUAGCGGUGGGUCUACGGCCACAAUGCCGGCCCACCAGUAGGAGUNNNNNNNNNNNNNNNNNNNNNNNNNNNNNNNNNNNNNNNNNNNNNNNNNNNNNNNNNNNNNNNNNNNNNNNNNNNNNNNNNNNNNNNNNNNNNNNNNNNNNNNNNNNNNNNNNNNNNNNNNNNNNNNNNNNNNNNUUGCAUGCUAGCUUGUUAUGUUAUAUGAGAUAAAGGUAGUAAGAGGGGACUAGUCCCCGAGGAUCGGUUGUUAGGACCGAUGGGUAGUCAGCACCCCAGAAUGGCUUGACAUGGGUAGUCAGCACCCCAGAAUGUCUUGACAUGGAUAGUCAGCACCCCAGAAUGGCUUGACACGGGUAUUCGGCACCCCAGAAUGGCCGUACCGGGUAGUCAGGCACCCCAGAAUAGCCUGGCAGUAUGCGUGUUAUUUGUUUGUAUGGUAUAUGGGAUGAUGGGGGAACUCACUAAGCUUUGUGCUUAUAGUUUACAGUUUUGGUUUCAGGUACCUCUUCGUCAAAGGGGAAGGAACUGGCGCGGUAGCGGCACAUCAUGCACACAUAUUGGUUUCCGCACUUACGAGAUUAUCUGGCAUUUAUACUCUGAUAUUUUGAUGGUUGUAUGAUUUGGCUUUUAGACAUGGUUUACGUUUUGUUAUGGUUUGAUCAAACAAUGUUUUAAACUGUUAAUGUUUUUCUAAAGUAAUGUUUUUAAAACGAAUUUUUUGGACGUGAAAUUUGGGUCGUUACAAGUUGGUAUCAGAGCCCUGGUUUGAGGGAUUCGGACUCACCUUCGGGGGUGUCUGAACUCAAAUCGAGGGAUUAAAAGAAAAUGUUUUCUAAAAAUUGAGAAAAGAGUUUAAGAAAGAACGAAGGGUGUGAUGUGCGUGACCGGCCGAGCUCAGGUAAGUAUUCCCCAAAGUACCCAUACAAGUUUAUGUUAUGAUUAUCAGCUUUUGUAGAACAGCAUGCUAGAAUAGGACUAAGGAUCUAGGAGUGAUGCCUUAUGUGCCUGCUUUAUGUGUUUCAGCUGUAUGAGAAUUGCAUGCAAGUAUCGAGUAUACAUCAGUAGGGUAGCCUGUUAGGGUUGUGCCCGAUAGUAUGAGUUAGCACUGCGUGCUAGUUCAGUUUCCCUCUAUGAGAGCGGAAUUGCUUGAGAUUGUUUCCUUUGUCUAAAUGCUGCUUGCUUCGUGCUAUGUGGGACUCCGAAUAAUGGGAAUUAGCCAUUAGGCGAAUACGUCACGUCACAUGUGAUCAGAGUUGAAUAAUCUUAGAGUACCGAAUUUGAUCCUACUGCACAACUCAUGUUUGAGUCCAACCGUUGUAGGGACGAGUCGGGUACUCGAAGGAUUAUCUGAGUCUCGUCGCGUGUGAUGGUAUUCGGGUGAUGGCUAAUUGGCAUUACAAGGAGGUCUGCAGCAGCUGAGGACUAGAUCGAGUAGAGUCGGAGAUUUCCUAGGGCGAGCCUGGGAUGAGUAUAGUAGUGAUCAACAAUAGUGAAAGGGAUCUGGUGGAGUCGAGGCAGUCCUUGAAGAAGGUACGGAUAGAUGUGGAAGGUAGUAUGGGCCCGUACUACUGAAAGCAGAGGAUCCGUACUCGAACCAAGGAAGGCCAAGACAAGACUAAGGAACUUGUAAGUAGUGGUAAACCCUUAGGAAGUAUCAGUAUCUCUAAUGAUUGUUGUGAUGUAUUGCAGAAUAGUGGUACUUCGAUCGAGGCCGGUAGAUGGCGGUUCAGGAGAGGGUCAGGUUCGGGAUCAGGUUCCGAGCCGGUAGAUGAGGGAGUACGCGAGUUCAUCGCGUCAGAGAUCACCAGGGGCAUCCUUGAGUUGACCCCCAUCCUCUUUGGGUCGAUCAAGGAAGGGAUCAUGGAGUUGAUGGAGGAUCGCCUGCGGGCAUUCAGGAGUGAUUUGGCAUCUAGUCAGUCGGGAUCUCGCACACUGUCCUUCAAGGACUUCAGGGGCAGUGGUGCGCCGGAUUUCCAUGGGGUGAAAGACCCCAUUGCUGCCAGGCGAUGGAUUGCAGACAUCGAGUCUGCACAGUUGACUAGCUUCUGCCCCGAGGGGUCGAAGGUGAGGUAUGCAGCAGGGUGUUUAUGGGACCGAGCCCGGGAUUGGUGGGAGUCAGUGGGUGACUCGUUGGGAGCCUCAGCUAUCGAGGCUAUGACCUGGUCGGACUUUGUGACCAGGUUCAGGGCAGAGUUUGCGCCGGCUGUCGAGCUUCAGCAGCUGGCAAGGGAGUUUCUAGACAUGAGACAGACGACGGAGACUGUGGCGGAGAUCACCGCCAAGUUCCGGGAGAGGGCUUUGUUGGUGCCCUAGUACGCUGGUGACGAGGAUAUGAGGAUGACUCGUUAUCACGAUAUGCUACGAGCUGACAUUCAGGAGCAUGUUAGCUUUUCGGCUUGCCCUACCUUGGACUCUAUGAUCGCUAGGGCGAGGGAGAGGGAGAUAGAUUUGGAGCACAUCCGGAAACGGAAAUCAGAGGAGGGACAGACAGGAGGGGCUUCGGGGAAGAAGCCCAAGGGAUCAGAUGGUAGGCCGAAAGGCCAGUCAGGACCGAGCUGCACCAGGAAAUGCGGCAGGCCGCACGAGGGGGCGUGCAGGAUGGGAUCAUCAGGCUGCUACAAGUGCGGCAAGUCUGGGCACAUCAGCAGGGAUUGCACUGCUCCGGCAGCAGUUAUUCAGACAUCAGAGUUGUUGUGUUUCCACUGCAACCAGAGGGGCCACAAGAAGGCCAAUUGCCCCCAGUUGACAGUUUCAGCGCCGGUGAAGGCGCCAGCUCCAGCGACCCUGCGGAUCACGGAUGGCCGGCAGGGCAAGGCAGAGGCUCCGGUGGUGAGGAGCCGAGCAUUCCAGUUGACUACCGAGGAGGCACGCGCCGCACCCGAUGUGGUGACGGGUAUGAUUCUUUCCCUCUAUUUUUUAUUUUAUGAUGUUAUGAUAUUGAUAUGUGCUCCGUAUGUAUAUGUAUGCAUUAGGAUCGUUCCAUGUGAACGACAUCCCAGUUCAGGUAUUGUUCGACUCGGGUGCAUCCCGAUCAUUUGUUUCUCUUGCGCUUAGCAAGAAGUUUCAUGAGACUUCGGGCGAGUUAGAUUGCCCUUUAGAGGUAGAGAUUGCUGAUGAUCGAUCGGUGCGAGCAUCAAUGGUGUUUCGAGAUUGCGUUCUGCGUUUGUUUGAGGAGCGUUACUUGGUAGACUUGGUUCCCAUUCCUUUGCACGGGAACAAGGUGAUUAUUGGCAUGGAUUGGUUGAGCCCCAUUGGGGCGGUGAUAGAUUGCGCGCAGCAGUUAGUGCGGGUCAGGACCCCAAGUGGGGGGGAGUUACUGAUUCAUGGCGAGAGGCCGCAGGGUGGACCCACCGUAUGUUCAGCAGCGAGGGCUAGGCGCUAUCUUCAGUAGGGAUGUGCAGGAUAUGUCGCGUAUGUGAUGGAUACCCGGGAGGCGGGUAAGGCGACAGUGAGCGAGGUUCCGGUGGUUCGAGAUUUUGCAGAUGUUUUCCCGGAGGAGCUACCUGGGAUACCUCCGGAGCGACAGGUGGAGUUCAGGAUUGACCUUGUUCCUGGUGCGGCUCCGAUAGCCAAAGCACCGUAUCGGUUGGCUCCUCCCGAGAUGCAGGAGUUGUCUACGCAGCUGCAGGAGCUGUUAGACAAGGGUUUCAUUCGGCCGAGCAGUUCGCCUUGGGGAGCGCCGAUCCUGUUUGUGAGGAAGAAGGAUGGGUCGCAUCGUAUGUGUAUAGAUUAUCGGGAGUUGAAUAAGGUAACGGUGAAGAACCGUUACCCACUUCCGAGGAUAGAUGAUUUGUUUGAUCAGCUUCAGGGAGCGUCUUGGUUCUCCAAGAUCGAUCUACGCUCCGGUUAUCAUCAGAUGCGGGUUAGAGAUGAGGAUGUACAGAAGACUGCUUUCAGGACCAGGUAUGGUCAUUAUGAGUUUGUGGUGAUGCCAUUUGGGCUCACCAAUGCUCCAGCCGCGUUCAUGGAUCUCAUGAACCGCGUGUGUAGACCGAUGCUGGAUCGGUCAGUGAUAGUGUUCAUAGAUGACAUCUUGGUAUAUUCCAAGACGCAGGAGCAGCACGAGGAGCACCUGCGGGAGGUGCUGGAGGUUUUGAGGAGGGAGAGACUUUUCGCAAAGUUCUCCAAAUGUGAGUUCUGGUUGCGCGAGGUGCAGUUCCUUGGUCACCUCGUCAACCAGAAGGGUAUUUUGGUAGAUCCGGCCAAGAUAGAGGCCGUGAUGCAGUGGGAGGUCCCGAAGUCUCCAUCUGAGAUUCGGAGCUUCCUAGGGUUGGCAGGGUAUUAUCGGAGAUUUAUUCAGGAUUUCUCCAAGAUAGCAGUGCCGCUCACCCGACUGACCAAGAAGUCAGUGGUAUUUCGUUGGGGUCCGGAGCAGCAGACAGCAUUCGAGACCCUCAGGCAGAGAUUGUGCGAGGCUCCGAUCCUUACCUUGCCAGAGGGAGUAGAGGACUUUGUAGUCUAUUGUGAUGCCUCGAUCACAGGUUUGGGAGCAGUUCUGAUGCAGCGAGGCCAUGUGAUAGCUUAUGCCUCGAGACAGUUGAAGCCUCACGAGGCUAAUUAUCCUACCCAUGAUUUGGAGCUGGGGGCAGUUGUGUUUGCCCUCAAGAUUUGGAGGCAUUACCUUUAUGGGGUCCGUUGUACUAUUUACACGGAUCACAAGAGUUUGAGGUACCUUAUGGAUCAGCCGAGUCUGAAUAUGAGGCAGAGGAGGUGGUUGGAUGUGCUAAAGGAUUACGACUGUGAGAUCCUUUACCAUCCAGGGAAGGCCAACGUGGUGGCCGAUGCCCUGAGCCGCAAAGUGUCGGCGGCCCCUAUCAGAGAUCUAUGUUUGAGGAUGACAGUGAUCACUCCGUUGUUGGAGCGGAUCAAGGAGGCUCAGGUGGAGGGUCUCAAGGAGGAGAGACAGAAGUGUGAGAGGAUCGUGGGCCGAGUAGCCUCGUUUGAUUAUGAUAGUCGUGGUUUGCUGACGCUUCACGGGAGAGUGUGGGUACCGUACUGGGGUGGAGUACGGCAAGUGUUGAUGGAUGAGGCUCAUAAGUCUCGGUUUUCUAUCCACCCAGGGGCGACGAAGAUGUACCGAGAUCUUCGACUAGAUUAUUGGUGGCCCUGCAUGAAGCGGGAUGUGGCAUGGUACUUUGAGCGGUGUUUGACUUGCAGGAAGGUCAAGGUCAAACAUCAGAGACCGCAUGGCAAGAUGCAGUCGUUGGAUAUUCCACUGUGGAAAUGGGAAGAUAUCACGAUGGAUUUUAUCACGAAGCUUCCCAGGACCGCGCGUGUAGUGGAUUCGAUUUGGGUCAUCGUAGAUAGAUUGACCAAGAGUGCUCAUUUUAUCCGGAUUCAGGAGAGCAUAUCGGCCGAGAAAUUGGCCGACAUCUAUAUCAGGGAGAUCGUGGCGCGGCACGGGGUGCCGGUAUCGGUGAUCUCGGACAAGGAUGUGCGUUUUACUUCCAGAUUUUGGAAGAGAUUUCAUGACGAGUUGGGCACUCGUUUGCAUUUUAGUACCGCCUUUCACCCGCAGACGGAUGGUCAAAGCGAGCGGACCAUCCAGACUUUGGAGGAUAUGUUGUCGGCAUGCGUGUUGGAUUUCGGUGGUAGCUGGGAUACCUAUCUUCCCUUGGCCGAGUUCUCAUACAACAACAGCUACCACGCGAGUAUUGACCGUCCUCCAUUUGAGAUGUUGUACGGUUGGAGGUGCAGGACCCCGAUAUGUUGGGGUAAGGUUGGCCAGAGAGUCAUGGGGAGCACCGAAGUGGUGCUCAAGAUGACCGAGAGGAUUUAGGAGUUCCAGAGCAGGCUUCAGACUGCUCAGAGUCGGCAGAAAAGUUAUGCCGACAAGCGUCGAUCCGACUUGGAAUUCCAAGUCGGGGAUAUGGUUCUCCUGAAGGUGUCGCCUUGGAAAGGCGUCAUUCAAUUCAGGAAGCGGGGCAAGUUGGGCCCGAGAUUCAUCGGACCGUUCAGGGUCGUAGCCCGAGUGGGCAAGGUGGCGUAUAGGCUGGAUCUGCCAGCCGAGCUCAGCCAGAUCCACAGCACUUUCCAUGUUUCUCAGCUGCGGAAGUGCCUAGUGGACGAUUCAGCGGUAGUGCUGUUAGAGGAUAUUCAGGUUGAUGACAGCCUGAAUUACAUUGAGCGCCCAGUCGCAAUCCUCGACAGGAAGUCGAAGGAUUUGCGGAACAAGAACGUGGAGCUAGUGAAGGUGCAAUGGCAGCACCGCAAGGGUUCGGAAUGGACUUGGGAGCCGGUGGAUGAGAUGAUGGAGCAUUACCCCGAGCUAUUUCAGGAUCGAGCAGCAGACUUCGAGGACGAAGUCUAAAAUAAGUGGGGGAGAUUUGUAGCACCUGGUUCCUGGUUUUGAGGCAAAAGGGGAAGAAGAUCAAGAGGAAGAGAAGGAAUCCAGGCAUCCUUGUACUCCCUCAGCAGUUCCUUUGAGGAAUAAUCCGUUUUCCCCCUGUUUCUAUGCUCAUUACUUCAUUUAAGUCAUUCUUGAGCCAAUCCCCAAGUUUGUAUGUGCAAAUUAUUCUAUAAUAAGUUGUUUGGCCCUUAGAUCUAGGCAUUGUUGAGCUCCAGGAGCUUAGAUCUAUUGCCUUUAUGGACUCUUAUUACAUGAAGACCCUAGAUCUACCCUUUUGAGUGCAUAUUGAACCCUAAAAUCUAUAUUGGUGAAUAUCUACACGUAAAUUUGGAAACUUUACGUGUGAUUCGUGUUCUAGGAGUCCAAAUCUGCGAAUGGCAUGGACUGGAAUCGAGCAGAUUUGUGUAUUUAGUGAGUGCAUGGCAACGACUCGGCAAGUCAUUCAUGUGACUCAGCGAGUCUGUUCGCGAGUCUCCGAGUUUGUCCCCGUUUCGUAGUGUCGAGUGAGCAGUGAGUCACGGGGUGUGACUCAGUAGGUCAGAAGCUGAACUCAUCUAUGGAGGAACUCGGCGAGUCAAUGCCCUGACUCGGUGAGUUCAAGGCAAUCUCCUUAGAUCAAGAACAGACUCGGCAAGUUGUUCAUACAACUCGGCGAGUCUUAGCAUAAGUGUUCUUCGGAUGAAGAUGAACUCGACGAGUUGUUCAUACACCUCGGCGAGUAGGAUGAAGGACUUGAGUAUCAGUUUAGAAGGAGAACUCGUUGAGUCGUCGCCUAACUCGACGAGUAGAAACGGGAUUCAGGGCAAACGUUUGGUUAGGGACUCGGCGAGUCGGGUCAAUUGAAAGUUGACGCUAACUUUGACUUAGGUCAUGAUCAGGGGUAAAAUGGUCAUUUUACCCCAAAGGACAGUUAGCAGUGUUUGAUUGAGUAUGUUAUGGGAAUUGCAGCCGGAGGAUUUCCGGAGCAACAGCAGCAGCAGUAGACAGUCAGUUCCUGCUCAGAUCAGCAGCUACUUCGAGGUGAGUUACCUUCCAGUAGCGGUGGGUCUACGGCCACAAUGCCGGCCCACCAGUAGGAGUCGUAUGUUAGAUGAUUGUCUUUGUGACAUCAUCUAGGUUGCUACUAUCUGAUAUGUUAUGUGCUAGCAUGUUAUGUUAUAUGUGAUAAUAGUAGAGUUCGGUUGUUAGGACCGGAGGGUAGUCAGACACCCCAGAAAUGUCUGACAGUACGUGACGAUGUGUUUGCAUGCUGGCCUGUUAUGUUAUAUGCGAUAGAGGUAGUAGGAGGGGACUAGUCCCCGAGGAUCGGUUGUUAGGACCGAUGGGUAGUCAGCACCCCAGAAUGGCUUGACAUGGGUAGUCAGCACCCCAGAAUGGCUUGACAUGGGUAGUAGGCACCCCAGAAUGGCUUGACACAGGUAGUCGGCACCCCAGAAUGGUCGUACCGGGUAGUCAGGCACCCCAGAAUAGCCUGGCAGUAUGCGUGUUAUUUGUUUGUAUGGUAUGUGGUACGAUGGGGGAACUCACUAAG